CCAAGGAAUAAAUAAUCAAUAGGCUCAAAGUGGGCAACUAAGGAUGAUUUCAAAACAAUAAAAUUUAAAGGCCAAAAGAAAUACCUACAAAAUGCCCCAACAUUUUUCACAUGAUGCAGAUCAAUUUUCGCUUUGACACGGUCACAAGACAAGUUCUAGAAUGUGACAAAAUAGGAAACACACUCACACAAAACAAAGGGGGCUGCAUUUAUAAUUCAAGAUAAAUCCCCUUGUAAAGGCUCAAAUCUCACAUAUAGAAGUUGGUUCACAAAAAGAUAGUCAAGACGACACAUUAUGCUAAUUAUUAGCUACCUAAAGACAACCCCAUUAUAUCAAUUGAACAAGUCUGUCAAAAAAUUUCAAAGGUCCUCAAAGGCAUGAUCUCUAUUUUUCAAAUGUUCAGCAUAAUUUCAAUCAAAACAAGCCAGAAAAAUGCAAUCAACUAGAACCAGCAAAUGUCAAGUGCCAAAAUAUAGAUCCUCCCUCACACUAGUUCAAAGUAUAGUCCUUAAUGCAAAUUAUUCAACUAGGCAAAAAACUAAAUAAGUGAGAGAGUAAAAGUGACUUCCCUGAGAGAUCUUGUAGACCUUGCAAAUCAAGGAUGACUUUCCUAACAACAAAAACAAACAAGCAUACCAACGUAAUAAGGUUUA
Molecule: long non-coding RNA, 653 nt
Filed under: Trifolium pratense (red clover)
Lineage: Eukaryota; Viridiplantae; Streptophyta; Magnoliopsida; Fabales; Fabaceae
Description: long non-coding RNA (TPRA_LNC009850)
Source: RNAcentral